This 497-nucleotide ribosomal RNA is filed under the name uncultured bacterium. Its description in RNAcentral is "partial 16S ribosomal RNA". It matches the Rfam family "Bacterial small subunit ribosomal RNA", at positions 28 to 507 of the family's 1533-position model. The record is from RNAcentral.
GGCGAACGUUGGCGGCGUGCCUAAUACAUGCAAGUUGAGCGCUGAAGGUUGGUACUUGUACCAACUGGAUGAGCAGCGAACGGGUGAGUAACGCGUGGGGAAUCUGCCUUUGAGCGGGGGACAACAUUUGGAAACGAAUGCUAAUACCGCAUAAAAACUUUAAACACAAGUUUUAAGUUUGAAAGAUGCAAUUGCAUCACUCAAAGAUGAUCCCGCGUUGUAUUAGCUAGUUGGUGAGGUAAAGGCUCACCAAGGCGAUGAUACAUAGCCGACCUGAGAGGGUGAUCGGCCACAUUGGGACUGAGACACGGCCCAAACUCCUACGGGAGGCAGCAGUAGGGAAUCUUCGGCAAUGGACGAAAGUCUGACCGAGCAACGCCGCGUGAGUGAAGAAGGUUUUCGGAUCGUAAAACUCUGUUGGUAGAGAAGAACGUUGGUGAGAGUGGAAAGCUCAUCAAGUGACGGUAACUACCCAGAAAGGGACGGCUAACUACGUG